Molecule: ribosomal RNA, 303 nt
Filed under: uncultured bacterium
Lineage: Bacteria
Description: partial 16S ribosomal RNA
Rfam family: Bacterial small subunit ribosomal RNA
Source: RNAcentral
AGCAGCCGCCGCGGUAAGACAGAGGAUGCAAGCGUUAUCCGGAAUGAUUGGGCGUGAAGCGUCUGUAGGUGGCUUUUCAAGUCCGCCGUCAAAUCCCAGGGCUCAACCCUGGACAGGCGGUGGAAACUACCAAGCUGGAGUACGGUAGGGCAGAGGGAAUUUCCGGUGGAGCGGUGAAAUGCGUUGAGAUCGGAAAGAACACCUACGGCGAAAGCACUCUGCUGGGCCGACACUGACACUGAGAGACGAAAGCUAGGGGAGCAAAUGGGAUUAGAUACCCCUGUAGUCCCUGUCUCUUAUACA